GGAAAGCUGGUUAUUGUUGAAGCUUGCAAGAAAGGAUUUUACAACUUUGGAAAGCAGGGGAUUCUUUGUCACAAUCUUGUUGAUUUGUUGAGACAACUCAGUAGAGCAUUUGACAAUGCAUACGAUGAUCUCAUGAAAGCAUUCUUGGAGCGUAAUAAGUUUGGGAAUCUUCCAUACGGAUUCAGAGCCAACACAUGGCUUAUACCACCUGUGGCAGCACAGUUG
RNAcentral lists this unclassified non-coding RNA (225 nucleotides) under Hevea brasiliensis (rubber tree). Lineage: Eukaryota; Viridiplantae; Streptophyta; Magnoliopsida; Malpighiales; Euphorbiaceae. The record is from RNAcentral.